Molecule: unclassified non-coding RNA, 215 nt
Filed under: plant metagenome
Description: partial contains small subunit ribosomal RNA and internal transcribed spacer 1
Rfam family: Eukaryotic small subunit ribosomal RNA (bases 1-46)
Source: RNAcentral
AAGUCGUAACAAGGUUUCCGUAGGUGAACCUGCGGAAGGAUCAUUACAGAGUUCAUGCCCUGCAAAGGGUAGACCUCCACCCGUGUGUAUUAAUACCAUGUUGCUUUGGCAGGCCUGCCGCCAGGCUGCCGGCUCCCCGGAGCUGGUGCGUGCCUGCCAAAGGACCCCUAAACUCUGUUUAUUAGUGUCGUCUGAGUACUAUAUAAUAGUUAAAA